This 437-nucleotide ribosomal RNA is filed under the name Staphylococcus pseudintermedius. RNAcentral's name for it is "partial 23S ribosomal RNA". It matches the Rfam family "Bacterial large subunit ribosomal RNA", at positions 1918 to 2354 of the family's 2925-position model. Lineage: Bacteria; Bacillati; Bacillota; Bacilli; Caryophanales; Staphylococcaceae. The record is from RNAcentral.
CCCCAGUAAACGGCGGCCGUAACUAUAACGGUCCUAAGGUAGCGAAAUUCCUUGUCGGGUAAGUUCCGACCCGCACGAAAGGCGUAACGAUUUGGGCACUGUCUCAACGAGAGACUCGGUGAAAUCAUAGUACCGGUGAAGAUGCCGGUUACCCGCGACAGGACGGAAAGACCCCGUGGAGCUUUACUGUAGCCUGAUAUUGAAAUUCGGUACAGUUUGUACAGGAUAGGUAGGAGCCUUAGAAGCGUGAGCGCUAGCUUACGUGGAGGCAUUGGUGGGAUACUACCCUAAUUGUAUUGGAUUUCUAACCCGCAGCACUUAUCGUGCUGGGAGACAGUGUCAGGCGGGCAGUUUGACUGGGGCGGUCGCCUCCUAAAGAGUAACGGAGGCGCUCAAAGGUUCCCUCAGAAUGGUUGGAAAUCAUUCAUAGAGUGUAA